GUGCCAGCAGCCGCGGUAAUACGAAGGGUGCAAGCGUUACUUGGAAUUACUGGGCGUAAAGCGUGCGUAGGUGGUCGUUUAAGUCCGUUGUGAAAGCCCUGGGCUCAACCUGGGAACUGCAGUGGAUACUGGGCGACUAGAAUGUGGUAGAGGGUAGCGGAAUUCCUGGUGUAGCAGUGAAAUGCGUAGAGAUCAGGAGGAACAUCCAUGGCGAAGGCAGCUACCUGGACCAACAUUGACACUGAGGCACGAAAGCGUGGGGAGCAAACAGGAUUAGAAACCCCCGUAGUCC
This 292-nucleotide ribosomal RNA is filed under the name uncultured prokaryote. Its description in RNAcentral is "partial 16S ribosomal RNA". It matches the Rfam family "Bacterial small subunit ribosomal RNA", at positions 505 to 796 of the family's 1533-position model. The record is from RNAcentral.